UACGUAGGGUGCAAGCGUUAAUCGGAAUUACUGGGCGUAAAGCGUGCGCAGGCGGUUCUAUAAGACAGAUGUGAAAUCCCCGGGCUCAACCUGGGAACUGCAUUUGUGACUGUAGAGCUGGAGUACGGCAGAGGGGGAUGGGAAUUCUGCGUGUAGCAGUGAAAUGCGUAGAUAUGCGGAGGAACACCGAUGGCGAAGGCAAUCCCCUGGGCCUGUACUGACGCUCAUGCACGAAAAGCUGG
Molecule: ribosomal RNA, 242 nt
Filed under: uncultured bacterium
Lineage: Bacteria
Description: partial 16S ribosomal RNA
Rfam family: Bacterial small subunit ribosomal RNA
Source: RNAcentral